This is a non-coding RNA of Camellia sinensis, 407 nucleotides long. The record is from RefSeq and is a predicted model, not a curated record. Lineage: Eukaryota; Viridiplantae; Streptophyta; Magnoliopsida; Ericales; Theaceae.
UCUCUGGUUCUCAGUUUAUUUUGGAGAGAAAAGAGCGAAACGAAGGAGAAAGAAAGAGGAGGGGGUUCGAUCUAUAUAUGCAAUUGACGCGAAGCUCAUUGAUUGUUCUCCGGAGUAGAUUGAUUAUUAUUGUUGAAGAUCGCACAUCACCGAUUCGGCAUAAGAUCGAAAUCGAAUCGACUUUCUUAUUAUGAGAUUCAAUCUCCAAUAACUUUCUCGACUGAAGAGAUGAAGGGAGCAAAACCGAGAAGAGAUGGAGAAGAGAGAGGGUUCGAAUGAGCAAAACCGCAGGAGAAGGGUUUCAAUCUCUCUUGAUAUUGCAUUCUCCACCCAAUGUUUUCUUUGAAUUCGAAGCUUGGGGACUACUCAACUACUGGUUUGUUCAUUUUAGAUUGGAACAUCAUACA